RNAcentral lists this ribosomal RNA (253 nucleotides) under uncultured bacterium. RNAcentral describes it as "partial 16S ribosomal RNA". It matches the Rfam family "Bacterial small subunit ribosomal RNA", at positions 524 to 776 of the family's 1533-position model. The record is from RNAcentral.
UACGUAGGUGGCAAGCGUUGUCCGGAAUUAUUGGGCGUAAAGCGCGCGCAGGCGGCCUCUUAAGUCUGAUGUGAAAGCCCCCGGCUCAACCGGGGAGGGCCAUUGGAAACUGGGAGGCUUGAGUAUAGGAGAGAAGAGUGGAAUUCCACGUGUAGCGGUGAAAUGACGUAGAGAUGUGGAGGAACACCAGUGGCGAAGGCGACUCUUUGGCCUAUAAACUGACGCUGAGGCGCGAAAGCGUGGGAGCAACAGG